Non-coding RNA from Haemonchus contortus (barber pole worm), 75 nucleotides. NCBI's taxonomy places the organism in Eukaryota, Metazoa, Nematoda, Chromadorea, Rhabditida, Trichostrongylidae. The record is from Rfam.
GGCACAAACUUGAAGUAGAAUAGUUGGGUAUAGUCAGCUGAUCCUACUGAUCUACUCUGUUUCAAGUUUGUGCUC